GACGAACGCUGGCGGCGUGCUUAACACAUGCAAGUCGAGCGAUGAAGCUUUUUCGGAAGUGGAUUAGCGGCGGACGGGUGAGUAACACGUGGGUAACCUGCCUCAUAGAGGGGAAUAGCCUUCCGAAAGGAAGAUUAAUACCGCAUAAGAUUGUAAUAUCGCAUGAUAUAGCAAUUAAAGGAGUAAUCCGCUAUGAGAUGGACCCGCGUCGCAUUAGCUAGUUGGUGAGGUAACGGCUCACCAAGGCGACGAUGCGUAACCGACCUGAGAGGGUGAUCGGCCACAUUGGGACUGAGACACGGCCCAGACUCCUACGGGAGGCAGCAGUGGGGAAUAUUGCACAAUGGGGGAAACCCUGAUGCAGCAACGCCGCGUGAGUGAUGACGGUCUUCGGAUUGUAAAGCUCUGUCUUUAGGGACGAUAAUGACGGUACCUAAGGAGGAAGCCACGGCUAACUACGUGCCAGCAGCCGCCGUAA
RNAcentral lists this ribosomal RNA (478 nucleotides) under uncultured bacterium. RNAcentral describes it as "partial 16S ribosomal RNA". It matches the Rfam family "Bacterial small subunit ribosomal RNA", at positions 28 to 523 of the family's 1533-position model. The record is from RNAcentral.